AUUGAACGCUGGCGGCAUGCUUUACACAUGCAAGUCGAGCGGCAGCGCGGGGGCAACCCUGGCGGCGAGCGGCGAACGGGUGAGUAAUGCAUCGGAACGUAUCCUCGAGUGGGGGAUAACCCAGCGAAAGUUGGGCUAAUACCGCAUGAGCUCUGAGGAGGAAAGCGGGGGACCUGCGAGGGCCUCGCGCUGGAGGAGCGGCCGACGUCCGAUUAGCUAGUUGGUGGGGUAAAGGCUUACCAAGGCGACGAUCGGUAGCUGGUCUGAGAGGAUGAUCAGCCACACUGGGACUGAGACACGGCCCAGACUCCUACGGGAGGCAGCAGUGGGGAAUUUUGGACAAUGGGGGCAACCCUGAUCCAGCCAUGCCGCGUGAGUGAAGAAGGCCUUCGGGUUGUAAAGCUCUUUCGGACGGAACGAAAUGGGCGGGACUAAUACUCCUGUCUGAUGACGGUACCGUAAGAAGAAGCACCGGCUAACUACGUG
Molecule: ribosomal RNA, 486 nt
Filed under: uncultured bacterium
Lineage: Bacteria
Description: partial 16S ribosomal RNA
Rfam family: Bacterial small subunit ribosomal RNA
Source: RNAcentral